AUUGAACGCUGGCGGCAUGCCUUACACAUGCAAGUCGAACGGCAGCACGGGAGCAAUCCUGGUGGCGAGUGGCGAACGGGUGAGUAAUAUAUCGGAACGUGCCCAGUCGUGGGGAUAACGUAGCGAAAGCUACGCUAAUACCGCAUACGAUCUACGGAUGAAAGCGGGGGAUCGCAAGACCUCGCGCGAUUGGAGCGGCCGAUAUCAGAUUAGGUAGUUGGUGAGGUAAAGGCUCACCAAGCCGACGAUCUGUAGCUGGUCUGAGAGGACGACCAGCCACACUGGGACUGAGACACGGCCCAGACUCCUACGGGAGGCAGCAGUGGGGAAUAUUGGACAAUGGGCGAAAGCCUGAUCCAGCAAUGCCGCGUGAGUGAUGAAGGCCUUAGGGUUGUAAAGCUCUUUUACCCGAGAUGAUAAUGACAGUAUCGGGAGAAUAAGCUCCGGCUAACUCCGUGCCAGCAGCCGCGGUAAG
RNAcentral lists this ribosomal RNA (475 nucleotides) under uncultured bacterium. RNAcentral describes it as "bacterial SSU rRNA". It matches the Rfam family "Bacterial small subunit ribosomal RNA", at positions 30 to 524 of the family's 1533-position model. The record is from RNAcentral.